Molecule: ribosomal RNA, 253 nt
Filed under: uncultured bacterium
Lineage: Bacteria
Description: partial 16S ribosomal RNA
Rfam family: Bacterial small subunit ribosomal RNA
Source: RNAcentral
UACGUAGGGGGCAAGCGUUGUCCGGAUUUAUUGGGCGUAAAGAGCGUGUAGGCGGCCUGGUAGGUCGGUUGUGAAAACUCGAGGCUCAACCUCGAGACGUCGACCGAAACCACCUGGCUAGAGUCCGGAAGAGGAGAGUGGAAUUCCUGGUGUAGCGGUGAAAUGCGCAGAUAUCAGGAAGAACACCCGUGGCGAAGGCGGCUCUCUGGGACGGUACUGACGCUGAGACGCGAAAGCGUGGGGAGCGAACAGG